Molecule: non-coding RNA, 1425 nt
Organism: Gasterosteus aculeatus aculeatus (three-spined stickleback)
Lineage: Eukaryota; Metazoa; Chordata; Actinopteri; Perciformes; Gasterosteidae
Source: RefSeq, a predicted model, not a curated record
CGCCCAUUUUACCGGGCAUGCAUCGAAGCAGACUCGUCUGUUCUUGUGAGAGACAUAUAUCCCAGAAUGCAUUUCACCUCAGCAAGCUGCGAUGGGAGAUGAGAAAACGCACAACUGGACAACUGAGGAAACCCAAGCCCUCAUAGAGUGGCGUGCGGGCAACGAAAGCCUGUUCACAGGCCAACGAAACUCCAGCAAGACUGGAUGGGAGUGAGUAUUGAGCUUCUAUCAGUGUGUAAUUAUGAGGAGGGCCAGGGUCUUGGGCCAUCUCCAAUGCCUCAUGACCAGCAAGAUGAGCAAAGCCAGCCCCAACCUCCUCCAUCUCCUCCGGUUUGGGGAAAUGAAUGAUCCGGUGUAUAAUGGUCAUCAUUUCCUCCACAACAUUGUGAACCAUCCGGCAAAUUGUUGCAAGCGGCAUUGCAAAUACGUCUGCAGUGACCCUGUAGGAGGCUCCGCAGGCAAGCCAGUAGACAGUCACCAGCACCUCCAUCUCGUGGCUCCACCCGUGGGGUUUUUGCCGGGGCAGAAGCUGGACCAGCAUGUUAAAGCUGUUCCUGGACAGCCUGAAUGCUGGCCUCAUGUCGGCCUCAGAACAAAAUAUCGAAAUGAUGGGGACAUCAUUCUUCAUCACAGCAUAUUUAGUAACAGGAUGUUUGUUCUGUAAUAAACAAAUGCAACAACUGUAUUAAUAUUGUUAAAUUGGUUAUUCAGUUCGUAAUAUUAAAGAGAUGCUGCAUUUUACGAUUAUGCUUUGACUAUUUCAUAUAGUUAAUAAAAACGUUUCCAUGGAUUCCAUAAUGAAUGAGGUCUUGCUGCGUUUUGCAGUAACGCAUAAUGAUGUUUAUGCCUCUGUCCAUCUGAAUACCAACCUCUUAAUGUUUGAAUACCAAGACGACCAUUAGGUGUGUAUGCUUUAGUAGGCUAAUCGAUGGUCAGAUGCUGUUACUGUAUCAAACCUCCUCUGUACCUGGUGGUUUAUUAGGCCUGGAUUAAGCUAACCUUGAUACACAUAACAACUGCCCUAUCAUUAAUAACAUCUGUAGGUUUCGUAUGUAAAAGGUAUCUUUUCUGUAAUGUGCCUUUGAGGGCAUUGCUCCAAACAAAAUCUGUAUUACAACCACCUUGCAGUAUCAGCCACAACAGUCAAACAGCAGAGAAAACCACAGCUGACAUUAAUAUAAAUGAUUACAUAUCAUCAAUGCUUUAUACUGAAUUAAACUUACAAAGAAAGCGAGACAUGCUAUUAUGGCACAUCUCCUCGCCAUCCUUCGCCUUAUCUUGGAUUUUCGCUUGCGUAUGGUUCUCCUGAGUUGGGCAGCCUCCUCUUCAGCUUCUGUAUACAGUUUGCCGACCGCAACAGCAAUAUGUAUCAGAUCCAUUUAGUUACUACUCAAAUUAAUUAAUUAUUAAAUAUAAUAAUACCAA